Molecule: ribosomal RNA, 433 nt
Filed under: uncultured bacterium
Lineage: Bacteria
Description: partial 16S ribosomal RNA
Rfam family: Bacterial small subunit ribosomal RNA
Source: RNAcentral
AACGAACGCUGGCGGCAGGCUUAACACAUGCAAGUCGAGCGGGCCCUUCGGGGUCAGCGGCAGACGGGUGAGUAACACGUGGGAACGUACCUUUUGGUUCGGAACAACUCCGGGAAACUGGAGCUAAUACCGGAUAAGCCCUUAGGGGGAAAGAUUUAUCGCCAAAGGAUCGGCCCGCGUCUGAUUAGCUAGUUGGUGGGGUAACGGCCCACCAAGGCGACGAUCAGUAGCUGGUCUGAGAGGAUGAUCAGCCACACUGGGAUUGAGACACGGCCCAGACUCCUACGGGAGGCAGCAGUGGGGAAUAUUGGACAAUGGGCGCAAGCCUGAUCCAGCCAUGCCGCGUGAGUGAUGAAGGCCUUAGGGUUGUAAAGCUCUUUUGUCCGGGAAGAUAAUGACUGUACCGGAAGAAUAAGCCCCGGCUAACUUCGUG